CCCUUAUAGCCCGUACCCUAAACCGACACAGGUGGAUAGGUAGAGUAUACCAAGGCGCUUGAGAGAACUCUGCUGAAGGAACUCGGCAAAUUGCACGCGUAACUUCGGAAGAAGCGUGACCCUUAUGCACGCAAGUGUAUGAGGGUGGCACAGACCAGGGGGUAGCGACUGUUUAUCAAAAACACAGGGCUCUGCGAAGUCGCAAGACGACGUAUAGGGUCUGACGCCUGCCCGGUGCUGGAAGGUUAAAGGGAGAGGUGCGAGCUUUGAACUGAAGCCCCAGUAAACGGCGGCCGUAACAAUAACGGUCCUAAGGUAGCGAAAUUCCUUGUCGGGUAAGUUCCGACCUGCACGAAUGGCGUAACGACCUCCCCGCUGUCUCCAGCAGAGACUCAGUGAAAUUGAAUUCCCCGUGAAGAUGCGGGGUUCCUGCGGUUAGACCGAAAGACCCCGUGCACCUUUACUAUAGCUUUACACUGGCAUUCGUGUCGGCAUGUGUAGGAUAGGUGGUAGACUUUGAAGCUAGGGCGCCAGCUCUGGUGGAGUCAUCCUUGAAAUACCACCCUUAUCUAUAUGGAUGUCUAACCGCGACCCGUUAUCCGGGCCCGGGACAGUGUAUGGUGGGUAGUUUGACUGGGGCGGUCGCCUCCUAAAGAGUAACGGAGGCGCGCGAUGGUGGGCUCAGAACGGUCGGAAAUCGUUCGCUGAGUGCAAUGGCAUAAGCCUGCCUGACUGCGAGACUGACAAGUCGAGCAGAGACGAAAGUCGGUCAUAGUGAUCCGGUGGUCCCGCGUGGAAGGGCCAUCGCUCAACGGAUAAAAGGUACGCCGGGGAUAACAGGCUGAUGACCCCCAAGAGUCCAUAUCGACGGGGUUGUUUGGCACCUCGAUGUCGACUCAUCGCAUCCUGGGGCUGGAGCAGGUCCCAAGGGUAUGGCUGUUCGCCAUUUAAAGCGGUACGUGAGUUGGGUUCAGAACGUUGUGAGACAGUUCGGUCCCUAUCUGCCGUGGGUGUAGGAAUAUUGACAGGAUCUGUCCCUAGUACGAGAGGACCGGGAUGGACGUAUCUCUGGUGGACCUGUUGUGGCGCCAGCCGCAUAGCAGGGUAGCUAUACACGGACGGGAUAACCGCUGAAGGCAUCUAAGCGGGAAACCCACCUGAAAACGAGUAUUCCCUGAGAGCCGUGGAAGACGACCACGUUGAUAGGCCGGGUGUGGAAGUGCGGCAACGCAUGAAGCUUACCGGUACUAAUAGCUC
Molecule: ribosomal RNA, 1257 nt
Filed under: metagenome
Description: bacterial LSU rRNA
Rfam family: Bacterial large subunit ribosomal RNA
Source: RNAcentral